AACGAACGCUGGCGGCAUGCCUAACACAUGCAAGUCGAACGAGACCUUCGGGCCUAGUGGCGCACGGGUGCGGAACGCGUGGGAAGCUGCCCGUGGGUUCGGAAUAACAGUGAGAAAUUACUGCUAAUACCGGAUGAUGUCUUCGGACCAAAGAUUUAUCGCCCAGGGUUGAGCCCGCGUAGGAUUAGCUAGUUGGGGGGGUAAUGGCCUACCAAGGCGACGAUCCUUAGCUGGUCUGAGAGGAUGAUCAGCCACACUGGGACUGAGACACGGCCCAGACUCCUGCGAGAGGCGGCAGUGGGGACUCUUGGACCAUGGGCGCAAACCUGAUCCAGCGCUGCCGCGUGAGUGAUGAAGGCCUUAGGGUUGUAAAGCUCUUUUACCCGGGAUGAUAAGGCCGGUACCGGGAGAAUAGGCUCCGGCUACCUCCGU
RNAcentral lists this ribosomal RNA (432 nucleotides) under uncultured bacterium. Its description in RNAcentral is "partial 16S ribosomal RNA". It matches the Rfam family "Bacterial small subunit ribosomal RNA", at positions 29 to 506 of the family's 1533-position model. The record is from RNAcentral.